Molecule: transfer RNA, 77 nt
Filed under: Syntrophobacter sp.
Lineage: Bacteria; Pseudomonadati; Thermodesulfobacteriota; Syntrophobacteria; Syntrophobacterales; Syntrophobacteraceae
Also listed under: 6 other names
Description: tRNA-Gly
Rfam family: tRNA
About the family: Transfer RNA (tRNA) molecules are approximately 80 nucleotides in length. Their secondary structure includes four short double-helical elements and three loops (D, anti-codon, and T loops).
Source: RNAcentral
GCGGGAGUAGCUCAGUUGGCUAGAGCAUCAGCCUUCCAAGCUGAGGGUCGCGGGUUCGAAGCCCGUCUCCCGCUCCA